CGGGGUGUAGCGCAGUUGGCUAGCGCGCAGCGUUCGGGUCGCUGAGGUCGUGGGUUCAAGUCCCACCACCCCGACCA
Molecule: transfer RNA, 77 nt
Filed under: Candidatus Kerfeldbacteria bacterium CG_4_10_14_0_8_um_filter_42_10
Lineage: Bacteria; Candidatus Kerfeldiibacteriota
Description: tRNA-Pro
Rfam family: tRNA
About the family: Transfer RNA (tRNA) molecules are approximately 80 nucleotides in length. Their secondary structure includes four short double-helical elements and three loops (D, anti-codon, and T loops). Further hydrogen bonds mediate the characteristic L-shaped molecular structure. tRNAs have two regions of fundamental functional importance: the anti-codon, which is responsible for specific mRNA codon recognition, and the 3' end, to which the tRNAs corresponding amino acid is attached (by aminoacyl-tRNA synthetases). tRNAs cope with the degeneracy of the genetic code in two manners: having more than one tRNA (with a specific anti-codon) for a particular amino acid; and 'wobble' base-pairing, i.e. permitting non-standard base-pairing at the 3rd anti-codon position.
Source: RNAcentral